Molecule: non-coding RNA, 623 nt
Organism: Jatropha curcas
Lineage: Eukaryota; Viridiplantae; Streptophyta; Magnoliopsida; Malpighiales; Euphorbiaceae
Source: RefSeq, a predicted model, not a curated record
UUCACCUGCUCUGCUUCUGCUUGCACAAAAAGGAAGCGCACACAGAGACUUGGCAGCGGAGGCUUUUAAUGAGGGCCGAAGAGGAGGCAAGGAAAUAGAAAUAUGAUUCAGAGCAGAGGCCAUCACGUGGGCUCGAACGUAAAUACGCAUGGACCCAUCUCCACGUGGGGUCCGUCCCACCGAUCUUUCCAUGUCAUCUACCUCCUCCGUUUAAGAUAGGGAUAACAAAAAUAAAAGAAAACAAGAUGAUUUCCUCUUCGUCGAAGUCAACAACAAGAAAUGAGAAGGGAACAACUUUGCUGACGUGUGAGAUAACGGCAUACGGUUACCAGAAACUAAGCUUAUAAAUUUGAGAGGGAUGAUCAAUGACGGAAGCAAACUGAAGAUUAAUUAAAGUGGUAGGCGUGUGACGCUAUGGCGUAGAUGAGAAAAAGAAAAGAGAAAUUGGUAGCAGAGCAGUUUGCAUUUUGCGGCGUUUGUAGGAAGAGUACACUAGUGUUGUCAUCAUCAUCACUUCCCUUUCCUUAACAACACAUAAAAAGUUAAAAAUAAAGAAAGAUUUUUGGCAGAGAAAAUUGUACAAUUGUUGAUUUGCAUCAAAAUGCGAACUUUGCUCAACCUAA